This 498-nucleotide ribosomal RNA is filed under the name uncultured bacterium. RNAcentral describes it as "partial 16S ribosomal RNA". It matches the Rfam family "Bacterial small subunit ribosomal RNA", at positions 30 to 523 of the family's 1533-position model. The record is from RNAcentral.
AUUGAACGCUGGCGGCAUGCCUUACACAUGCAAGUCGAACGGUAACAGGUCUUCGGAUGCUGACGAGUGGCGAACGGGUGAGUAAUACAUCGGAACGUGCCCGAUCGUGGGGGAUAACGAAGCGAAAGCUUUGCUAAUACCGCAUAAGAUCUAUGGAUGAAAGCAGGGGACCGCAAGGCCUUGCGCGAACGGAGCGGCCGAUGGCAGAUUAGGUAGUUGGUGGGAUAAAAGCUUACCAAGCCGACGAUCUGUAGCUGGUCUGAGAGGACGACCAGCCACACUGGGACGGAGACACGGCCCAGACUCCUACGGGAGGCAGCAGUGGGGAAUUUUGGACAAUGGGCGAAAGCCUGAUCCAGCCAUGCCGCGUGCAGGAUGAAGGCCUUCGGGUUGUAAACUGCUUUUGUACGGAACGAAAAGACUCUUUCUAAUAAAGAGGGUCCAUGACGGUACCGUAAGAAUAAGCACCGGCUAACUACGUGCCAGCAGCCGCCGUAA